CCGCUGGGGCUGUCGUGGUGGGCGUCUGGGGCUGGCCUGAGGCUGCUGGAAAGCCUGCUGGUGUCUGAGGCAAAGACGGGCUUAGACGUGUGUGCGUGCGGGUAAUGGUAGUGUUACUGACCAGGGCUCUUGGACUCCUUAACCAGUAGGAACUGAGAAGAAGCCAGAGGAGGAAUCCAGGCAAGGCUUUGUGGGGGCCCCCGCUGCAGCUCGGGGAGGGACACCUGUUUGAUCCCUCAUCUGGGAAGAUCCCGCAUGCCGUGGGGCAGUGAAGCCCGCGAGCUGCAACUCCUGAGCGCCUGCAGCCUAGAGCCCAGACUCUGCAACAGAGACGCUGCCACGAUUCCUUGACCAGAGAUCGAACCGAUGCCCCAUGCAUUUGGAAGCAUGACGUCUUAGGCCCUGGAACCUCAGGGAAGUCCCAGGGACGUUCCCACGUUUGGAGUUCCCAUGGCACUUAGUCCAGAAAGGUGCUGGUGUGGAUGAG
Molecule: long non-coding RNA, 487 nt
Organism: Bubalus bubalis (water buffalo)
Lineage: Eukaryota; Metazoa; Chordata; Mammalia; Artiodactyla; Bovidae
Exons: 3
Source: RefSeq, a predicted model, not a curated record